Molecule: non-coding RNA, 110 nt
Organism: Acanthosepion pharaonis
Lineage: Eukaryota; Metazoa; Mollusca; Cephalopoda; Sepiida; Sepiidae
Source: the annotation of a GenBank genome assembly
CAACCACAUCACGUUGAAACACCGGUUCUCGUACGAUCACCGAAGUUAAGCAACGUCGGGCCUUAUCAAUACCUAGAUGGGUGACCGCUUGGGAAUAUCAGCUGCAGUAA